GUGGGCUUAACCCCCCAUUGAGAUAGCACCCUAUGUUUAUGAGUACCUUCGUUUCCUCGGCAGGCUUGCCCGCCGCUGGACAUCAAAAACCCUUUGUAGUAGCAGUAACUUCAGUUAAAAACAAAUUUUAAAACUUUCAACAACGGAUCUCUUGGUUCU
Molecule: unclassified non-coding RNA, 159 nt
Filed under: rhizosphere metagenome
Description: partial ribosomal RNA internal transcribed spacer region
Source: RNAcentral